AGCCCCCUGUAUUCGUGCCGAGAUUUCGUCAGAGAUCAAACCGUUGAGGCUGAUAGUACUUCCCAAAUAAGUGAAGCG
RNAcentral lists this microRNA precursor (78 nucleotides) under Trichobilharzia regenti. RNAcentral describes it as "mir-3492 microRNA precursor family". It matches the Rfam family "mir-3492 microRNA precursor family". The record is from Rfam by way of RNAcentral. Lineage: Eukaryota; Metazoa; Platyhelminthes; Trematoda; Strigeidida; Schistosomatidae.